Molecule: long non-coding RNA, 1455 nt
Organism: Jaculus jaculus (lesser Egyptian jerboa)
Lineage: Eukaryota; Metazoa; Chordata; Mammalia; Rodentia; Dipodidae
Exons: 5
Source: RefSeq, a predicted model, not a curated record
GCCUCCCGGGACUCGCGCGUCCCCGGGAGGACACCGUCGGUGGCUGUGGCCUCGGCUGGCCGGCGCGAGCGGGCGUCAGAACUGCAUUCUAGCCGGGUGGGGUGGCACACGCCUUUAAUCCUAGCACUUGGGAGGAAGAGCUAGGAAGGAUCGCCGAGAGUUCGAGGCCACCCUGAGACUACAUAGUGGAUUCCAGGUUUGAGGUGAUGCGAGUGGACUCUUGCACCUUGCACGCGUUUCCCAGCUAGGCCUUGGCGGCCCGGCCCUCCUGGAAACGAUGGAAACUUCCCAGACAGAUGGCGUGUUUCUGAUUCUGCAGAUUCUGCAGCGGACAGUCCCACCUCCCCACACUCCCUGGUGGGCUCCCACUGCCCAUGGAGAGGAUGCUCCCCCCAGGUUUGGCCAGGUGACAUUUUAGGUGCCCAUCUGGACUUAUUGCAGAGGUGGCAGCUUGGUGCUGCCCAAGGACCAGGAGAGGUGUUUCCAUCCUGCCAGGAAGCAGCUAGACACUGUACUCCCAAGAUGAUCCCACUAUGUGCAGAAACACCAUGGAAGCUGUCGUAUCAACAACAUUCUAGACCCACCUGUCCCAGGAGCUUGGACAUUCCUUUCUGGGACUAGUUUGGUACAGAAAGACCCAGCAGUUCAUCCCUCAUCCAUUGGGGUCCUUCUCACUGACAUCAGCUUGAAGAAAGAUGAGAACAUCGGAGGGAAAUCCUUGAAGGCAACCCAGGCCAUGGAGGCAGUGACCCUCUGGACAUGAACAGCUGGGGUCUCUGUUCUCCCUCAGGUCUGCUCUUGGUGAGCUACUGCUAGGAGACUGGCUUGGCCUUUGUGUUUGAGAGGGAAAUUCCAAGCCACUGGCUUAUCUGACUUUCUUCCUCAGGUUUUUGUGGCGGUGAUGGCGGACGCUGGCACAACAGAGACAGAGCAGCGCCGCUCCGCAGUGCCUCGCCAGCCCCCGCUGCCCUUGUCUUUAGCCCGUCCCAGGGGGUCUUUUCACUGUGGUGGAGGCAGAGGAAAAGCUCUGGGGUCUGGAGACAUGGGGACCAGAGGUGGCGACCCUCCAGUUGCCACUGUCACACCUGCAGAGCCACACGAUGCUGUGGACAAAAAGUCUGGUCUUCCUCAUCUCAGCCAGGUCAUAUAUGGCCAGAUUCCAUGUCUUCAUGUGUAUUCCUACUUAUUGUUUUAGAUGUAAAAUAGCCUGACAUUUGCUUUUCUUUAUAGUUUUUAUUUUUAUUUUUUUGAGGUAGGGUCUCACUCAGAUCAGGCUAUCUGGAAUUCACUAUAUGGUUUCAGGCUGGCCUCAGACUCGCAGCAAUCCUCCUGCCUCUGCCUCUCGAGUACUGGGAUUAAAGGUGUGUACCACUACACCUGGCUUAAGCCUGACAUUUUCUGAGAUGUGCCUCAUUGUCCUCUUACCCUCCUCAAUAAAUUAUGAAACAUGCCCUA